This 1485-nucleotide long non-coding RNA is filed under the name Vombatus ursinus (common wombat). RNAcentral's name for it is "lncRNA (ENSVURG00010010601.1)". Lineage: Eukaryota; Metazoa; Chordata; Mammalia; Diprotodontia; Vombatidae. The record is from RNAcentral.
GGUACAGAAGGCAGUGAGAUGGCUGGUCUGCUAUUCACCUCCAGCUGCUAAGCUCUGCUGUGAAACCUUCGCUCAUUUCAUGGAGAAGGGCAUCAACUGUGAAUUUGGAGAGCAGCUUUCCAGAGACCAGAAGGACAGGCAGCUAGCUGGCUUGCCCCCCCAGGAACCGGCAGUAAUCUUGGAAUUGUACAACAGCAUGAUUCAAUUCCCUACAGGGGCCAUGGCUGCCAAACAGCUCUGUGGCCCAGCGGGGCUGGCCCCGAAGUUUUUCUGGCUAACUAACCAAAGAUGCCUCAACCCGAGAGGAGCAUGCCAGAGUACCUGGAGUGGCUCAGGAGCAUCAUUCUAUCCCUUCAGCUCCUUCCAGUUGUCUUGCCCCAGAAGACCAGUUGGCAGUGUGCAUGCUCCUCUGUCCUCAAGUACAUCCAUCACCUGUUUGGAUCUCGUGCCAGCUAUCCCCUGCUCCACUGCCAGGUGGAGCACCUUCUGAGCCAAGCCUACUGUCACUGGUGGACCAGGGACUUUGGAGAGCAGGAGGAAUCUUCUGGAGCGGAGGUGCCCUGGGAUGUCAUCAUCUGUCUCUGUGUCCAGCAAUUACUACAGACCUGGAGCCCUCCCAGGCAGCCAGGAAUGCCAGGUGCAGACCCAUGAAGCUCCCCACCUCCUCCUCCAUUCUGAAGAUAGGAAGCUAAGAGGUGAAAUAAGCUUUGGCUUGUGUGGUAGUCACUUGUCAACUGACUGACUGACCGACUAACUACUCCAGAUGGAUGAGCCUGGGAAUGCUUGUGAGAAGCUCUAAUAUUCCCCCUCCCCCGCCUCGGCUCAAAAACUGGUUGUUGAGUGUGGCUUGGCACUGAUCUGUCUGUCCUCCUCCUCCUCCUUCUGUCUUCAGUUCCCUUUAUUCACUGGGCUCAUGUGUCUUCAAUUUUCUGAUUCCCUUGGGUGCAGUGGGAACUGCUGAGAUCAUGGAGGAACCUUAGAGGGACGGUUCAAACAUCCUUUCACUUAGACAUUCAAGCUAAACUUUCUUCCCUUCUUUUUUGUUUUCCUGUACUGGCCCUAAGGGCUGCUCAGAUGUGUGACUCAACUGAGUCCUUUCAGCCCCAGAGGAAGUGGGCCACUUUCAACACUGAUGAGACCCCCCUUGUUCCCAGACUGGGUCUCUGGGCCAUUUGAUGUUACCAGAGCACUCUUGGGUGCGUGGCAGAAAGAGAGUCUGGGACAGUGUCCGUCCCUGUUGAGCUAUUCCCACCAGGCCCAGAUUCUCACAAAUGCUGUCUCUGUUUGUUUGAGAAGCUGUGGAACACCAGGGGAGAGAGGUCCAGGUCUGCUGUUUCAAAGACAGUCUGAGGGAGUACUGCCUCCCGGACUCCUGGGAAAAUACUAGGCGGAAGCCCAGGACAGAGAUGGUGCAGCAUGAGAAAGAGCAGGCUUUGUAAGACUCUCAAUGGAAUGAUGCAAUGAAGUGUGCCUUCCUCAUCACCA